This is a non-coding RNA of Clostridium tetanomorphum DSM 665, 113 nucleotides long. Lineage: Bacteria; Bacillati; Bacillota; Clostridia; Eubacteriales; Clostridiaceae. The record is from Rfam.
UCCACCGUGAGGUAGAAUCUGAAGGAAGCCGAAGGCAAAAUCUUGGUCUGAGGAAUACAAAUUACAUAUAAGGCUUACUAAGGGUGGAUGAGUUUGCAAUACAAAACCAAGUC